This 235-nucleotide long non-coding RNA is filed under the name Populus trichocarpa (black cottonwood). Its description in RNAcentral is "long non-coding RNA (PTRI_LNC003453)". The record is from RNAcentral. Lineage: Eukaryota; Viridiplantae; Streptophyta; Magnoliopsida; Malpighiales; Salicaceae.
GUGGCUAGUGAGACAAAGUAGUAACGACCUGGCCCCUCCAUUCCUUCUUGUAGGGACCGUUACGUUUCAUUCCUUGAGUACGACAAAAUUGAUAGCGCUCUGACCUGUCUCAAGGUAAGACUGCAGCAACUUUUAUUGACAGGGUAAACACGAAAGUAGGAGUGGGUUGAGUCCAGACAACCAUAGUAAGAUGACGGCGUCGAAAAGGAGACAACCGAUGUCAGAGGCCUAAAUC